GGGGAAUUUUCCGCAAUGGGCGAAAGCCUGACGGAGCAAGACCGCGUGGGGGAUGAAGGUUUGUGGAUUGUAAACCCCUUUUGAUUGGGAAGAAUACUGACGGUACCAAUCGAAUAAGCCUCGGCUAACUCCGUGCCAGCAGCCGCGGUAAUACGGAGGAGGCAAGCGUUAUCCGGAAUUAUUGGGCGUAAAGCGUCCGUAGGUGGUUUAGUAAGUCUGCUGUUAAAGCGCGGGGCUUAACUCCGNUAUCGGCAGUGGAAACUACUAGACUAGAGUGUGGUAGGGGUAGAGGGAAUUCCCAGUGUAGCGGUGAAAUGCGUAGAUAUUGGGAAGAACACCGGUGGCGAAAGCGCUCUACUGGGCCAUAACUGACACUGAUGGACGAAAGCUAGGGGAGCGAAAGGGAUUAGAUACCCCU
RNAcentral lists this ribosomal RNA (418 nucleotides) under uncultured cyanobacterium. Its description in RNAcentral is "bacterial SSU rRNA". It matches the Rfam family "Bacterial small subunit ribosomal RNA", at positions 356 to 789 of the family's 1533-position model. Lineage: Bacteria; Bacillati; Cyanobacteriota. The record is from RNAcentral.